Molecule: small nuclear RNA, 102 nt
Organism: Jaculus jaculus (lesser Egyptian jerboa)
Lineage: Eukaryota; Metazoa; Chordata; Mammalia; Rodentia; Dipodidae
Source: RefSeq, a predicted model, not a curated record
CUGCACUGUCAGCACAUAUAGUAAAAUUGGAAAGAUACAGAGCAGAUUAGCAUGACCCUGCACGAGGAUGACACGAAAAUUCCUCAAGCGUUCCACAUCUAA